UACGAACUGUGCGAACGUUAUUCGGAAUCACUGGGCUUACAGGGUGCGUAGGCGGCUUGUGAAGUUGGGUGUGAAAGCCCCCGGCUUAACCGGGGAAUUGCGCCCUAAACUGGCGAGCUGGAGUGAGAUAGGGGUGUGUGGAACUUCCGGUGGAGCGGUGAAAUGUGUUGAUAUCGGAAGGAACGCCUGUGGCGAAAGCGACACACUGGAUCUUGUCUGACGCUGAGGCACGAAAGCCAGGGGAGCGAACGGG
This 253-nucleotide ribosomal RNA is filed under the name uncultured bacterium. RNAcentral describes it as "partial 16S ribosomal RNA". It matches the Rfam family "Bacterial small subunit ribosomal RNA", at positions 524 to 776 of the family's 1533-position model. The record is from RNAcentral.